Molecule: microRNA precursor, 195 nt
Filed under: Oryza brachyantha (malo sina)
Lineage: Eukaryota; Viridiplantae; Streptophyta; Magnoliopsida; Poales; Poaceae
Description: MIR812 microRNA precursor family
Rfam family: MIR812 microRNA precursor family
Source: Rfam by way of RNAcentral
AAUAAACGAAUUUUUGAGUUUUUGGAUGGAAUUUUUAACUCUUCAUCUUAUUUGAAAAUUUUUUAAUGAUUAAUAUUUUUAUUGCUACUAUAUGAUAAAAUAUAAUAAUACUUUACGUGCAACUAAUUUUUUCAAUUUUUUAAUAAAUUUUUUAAAUAAGACGAAUGGUCAAACGCUCGAACUACAGCACCGAGA